GACGAACGCUGGCGGCGUGCUUAACACAUGCAAGUCGAACGGAAAGGCCCUGCUUUUGUGGGGUGCUCGAGUGGCGAACGGGUGAGUAACACGUGCGUAACCUGCCCUUGACUUUGGGAUAACUUCAGGAAACUGGGGCUAAUACCGGAUAGGAGCUCCUGCUGCAUGGUGGGGGUUGGAAAGUUUCGGCGGGUGGGGAUGGACUCGCGGCUUAUCAGCUUGUUGGUGGGGUAGUGGCUUACCAAGGCUUUGACGGGUAGCCGGCCUGAGAGGGUGACCGGCCACAUUGGGACUGAGAUACGGCCCAGACUCCUACGGGAGGCAGCAGUGGGGAAUAUUGCACAAUGGGCGGAAGCCUGAUGCAGCAACGCCGCGUGCGGGAUGAAGGCCUUCGGGUUGUAAGCCGCUUUCGCCUGUGACGAAGCGUGAGUGACGGUAAUGGGUAAAGAAGCACCGGCUAACUACGUG
RNAcentral lists this ribosomal RNA (468 nucleotides) under uncultured bacterium. RNAcentral describes it as "partial 16S ribosomal RNA". It matches the Rfam family "Bacterial small subunit ribosomal RNA", at positions 28 to 507 of the family's 1533-position model. The record is from RNAcentral.